UACCUAAUUUCUGGGAGUCGUCCUGGAAAGAAAGGCCCUAUUGGGGUGGACGUUCAACCUCCUCCUCAUAAAAAACAACAACAACAAGCAGCUGACCCCUAGUUCUGCCAUUCAAGGAAGAGCAGCCCCUGACCUCAAGAUGUCUAUGGCUCAACAACCUUGACUCUGAACUUGUUUAACAACAAGAGCUGACUGAGAGGUCUCAUGCUCAAGCCUGGCUGCCACCUCUGCUCCCAUGUAGCAGAAGUGCCAGGUGAGGCAGACUCCUGGCAUCGAUGUCGGUACCACAGCCACGUCCCAAUAACUUGGUGGGCCACCCCCUCUCUUCAGACCACCUGGCCGACCAUGCAGGCUGCAGUCCAAUACACUGCCUCCCCCUGCCCCAUGGUGGUGAAGCUCAGCACUGGGCGACACAAGGGUAGGGAUGGCUCAGAUCCUGGAUCACAGCUUUUGUAGACAGUCUGUCUAGAGAUUUAAUAUCCCCAUGGGGUCUUGGAUGCAUGCUAAAAAUUAAUGCUGGGAGCUAAUUAAUUGAGAAUCGGCACUGUUUUCAAAGCAGCUGUACCUUGCCCGUGGCUGUAUCUCACAAGCUUUCGGUGGCAUCAAGGCUCUCCAUGAUGGGGCCCCACUGCCCUCUUCUAGCCUCAUCUGACAGUUCCUCCAGCUAACCCAAUCUAGAGAGGAUGUGUCGGAAUAGGAGCCUGUGGUGGUAGACAAGGCACUGGAGCGAGAAAGACCUGGGUUCAAAUCCUGACCCUAAGCAGUCAUUCCACAUCCCUGAGCGUCAGUUCCUUCAUCUAAUAAGCCUCUAAGGCCCCUUCCAGCUCCCCUACAUUCACACACCCUAGCUUACUCUUUGAAAUGCUUCUGUCUAAUUCUACCUCUCCUUGGAGCAUCAAAUUAAAUACCACCUUUUUUUCUAUCCUCCCAUCUACUCUAUAUCUCGGGGCCACCAAAUAUAUCACGUACCUCUUACUACACUGGCAUACCUCAGCACCCCAAAUGGACUAAAACAAAGGACGUGGUACCUUCAAGUUUAGCUUUGACAUCAAAUGCUUUCAUUGUCUUUUAGUUACAAUCAGGAGUGGUUUUCUUACAAUUUUUAAAAAGAACAAUUUUUUUUUUCUGUCAAGCAUGUUCUACUGGUACUUUUUCUGGGACCCAUCAAAGUACACAUCAGUACACAUGCUUCCUGACUCUCAGCAGAAACAGGGUGUGUUAUAGAUUACAAAAACAAACACUGAGUGUGCUUUUAUCAA
This is a non-coding RNA of Phascolarctos cinereus (koala), 1259 nucleotides long. NCBI's taxonomy places the organism in Eukaryota, Metazoa, Chordata, Mammalia, Diprotodontia, Phascolarctidae. The record is from RefSeq and is a predicted model, not a curated record.